This is a long non-coding RNA of Gallus gallus (chicken), 13682 nucleotides long. Lineage: Eukaryota; Metazoa; Chordata; Aves; Galliformes; Phasianidae. The record is from Ensembl.
AUGACCUUGGCCUUGCUGUUGCCACUGAGUACGAGAGCACUUCAAAUUCCCCACCUGCACUCCAGCUGGAGGAUUAUAGAAUGAAAAGAGCUGUAGUGGAUGAAACAGUUCUUUUUUUUUUUGCCAACUUGAUUUUAAUUACACAGCAUGUCAUAAACUUUAGAAAAUGUAUUUAGAUUUAAAAAAAAAUGUAUGGUGUGGAGGAGCAUGGGAGGGGGAAGUGGAUGCUUGAGCUAACUAAGGGACAAAAGAAAGUUGCUCCAAGUGAUGAACAGAUGUGAAAAUGCCGAUAAUGCACACUUGUGGAACAAAGGGGUCAUCCAGAUGAAGAAUAUUCUCUUGCUGCAGUAGUUUAUUCCUGUAAUCCUUAUGUGAAGUUUUGAUUGAAGAUUAAUGCAAUACCAGUGAGGGCUUCGUUGCUUGUGGUGCUGAUGUCAGAUGAAGUGACUUCCUCAAAGUCAUGGCAAAUCUGUGGCCAAGGAUGUUUUCUUAUUUGGAGAGUGGUGGGGCCCUGGCACUGCUACCCAGAGAGCUGUGGGUGUCCCAUCCCUGGAGGUGCUCAGGUCCAGGCUGGAUGGGGCCCUGGGCAGCCUGAGAUGGUGGGGGGCAACCUGCCCAUGGUAGGAGGUUGAAACUCAGUGGUCUUUAAGGUCCCUUCCAAUCUACACCAUUCGAUGAUUCAUGAUUCUAUGAUGCUUUGUGAUUUCCCAUAUUUCCAAUAGUGGCUUUUGGCUUCAGCUCAUCCAAAGGCCUGUAAAAGGGAGAUGGAGGUGGAAGGAGUUAUUUACACUCAGCUGGAGUGAGGUGGGAGGAUGCAAAUGGGAAAUAAUGCAACUUCCCGCGCUAUAGAUGUCAGAAUAAAUUCUCUUCCCUGUUUGAGCAGAGGUUGGAAGGGGCACACAGGGAUUGGGGGUUGACCUGAUAAAAUUCCUCCUCACUCUUGCAUUGAGAGACAGCUUGUAAAAAUUACACAAUUGUCUUUCUGGUUGUGUCAAAACAGUAGUGUGAGCUGGGGUUUGAAGACAAGCCCAACCAAUGUGAACGCUGUCUGAAGCUGGUUCCGACCUCUCCAGGCAGACGCCUCCAGAUGUCAGGAGUGACCGGCUUUGUUUUAUGUGGGAGAUAGGAGGCAACUACAAGCUGGAGUAAUUGUGAAAUUCCAUAUGGCAAAGCUUCUUGUUUGAAAGGGCAUGAAAAGAAAAAGAUAAAAAAUUCAGAACCAUGUGGAAGAAAAGGCAAACAGCUACUUGGAGCAGGUCUGGCUCCAGGGGAGCAGCUGGGCUGAGCCCCAGUCCUGUACAGACUGAGGAUUUCAUCCCAGAUCCUUUUGCCUCGCAGCCAGCUGCCUACCACCCCCAGUGCUCUCCAAAUGGCUCUGUUUGUUUGCUAUCAUCCACACACCUUUUUGCAUAUGUUGUUGUUGUGGGUGUUUUGCUCUUUUUCAGCGCUAUGUGGCAGUUUUCUGCUCUAGGCUGAAGAGCAUCUUGAUGUGAAUGUGAACCCAGAAGUUUUGACACGCCAUGAAUGCUGACUGAAAAAAAGCUGGAUCAAUAAGAACAAAAUGUAGAACAGAAGAGCUUCAUCACGCACACAAACUACUUUUCAUCCCUCUCUAAUAACUGAGGUUUCUCUCUGGUUUCUCUUAGUAGUGUGAGGCAUUAAGCAUAUCAGAACAGCUAUCAAAUGUCCAGCUAGCACAGGAAUUUUCUCAAAAAGUGGCUGAGGGUGGUUGCUAAAGAAUUAACGAGAGGGAGACAGGUAUGCAGUGACAAUCUCCCAGCCACCAGGGAUCAAUGGGCUACAUCCCUUGCCAGCUUGUGACCAGCCAACCACCUUCCAGAGAUGCCCAAUCUGUGCUUUUAGUGACUUACCCAGAAGAGGAAAGGUCCUCAGAGAGCCCAAGGGCAACAUCCUCAUCCUCAUUAGUGCUGGAUCCCUGCCAAGGGAGUCCCAUUAGUUGGCUGAACAUCAUCAUAGUCUAUCAUAGUACGCAUAGGAAGGGGUCAUUAAGUUGCUGCCAGCUCUCCAGGGGCCACGUCUACCUACUGACUUUACCACUGAAGUGGAAACUCCUGGGUAGGGACAAUUUUUGCAGGAUGUUUAUAAAGGACAUAGCACAUGACAAUACAGAGGUACAAGGCAUUGUGGCUUCUGGUUUCAAGCUCUGGACUGAAGGGCUCUAAGCCAUCUCCAGUGGGCUACACUCCUGAUUUCCCCGGGACAUGCUUUUGGGUAGCUGGGCAUUUGCUUCACACAACUUGCCUGAGUAGCAGGGCUAUUCCACAGGUGCUCUGACCAUGGGUCUCUGCAUCUUCCUAUUUCCCAGGAAUGCAUCCCAUUGACAGGUAGCCAUGCCACAGCUCAGAAAUCUGUACCAGAGCCUGAAGGGAGGUGGGGAGCUCUGCAUAUCCUCCAGUCCAGGCUGUUACCACUGAUCAGUGCCAGUGUGCAGUGUGUGCCCUGAUAUCAAUGUGAUGAAUGUUGUGCUGACUUCGACAUUGUGUGCGCCUGUGUACUGAAUAUUGUCUGCUGGAAAGUAAAUAACAGCAGAUGAGCAAAUGGGGCUGUGAAGACAUUUCAAUGUCCAUAAUGUUUCCAUCCACAAAAUGCAGCAGUUAUGCAUCAUUUUAAUGGUAGGAAUAGAUAAGCAGUCAGCUAUCCGUAUCUGGGAAAUCAAAAAGGAAAGCAACAUCAGAGGAAAUAGAUAGGCAGUGGGUGUUCAAGGGCAAUGAGUCAUCCUUGCCACAAAUACGGCUUAGAAUGAGGAAUACUAAUAAUUAGGAAACAUAUUUCAAAAGUUCAGUUCUUUCCUCCUUUCCCAAAUUAUCUUACAUGCCCUGGGGACAUUUUGGAAUGACAAUGUCUGUAUUAGGAGGCAGACAUGAGGAAAAUCCACUGUAGGAAGAAAUGACCAAAUAAUAUAGAAGAAUAAAAUUAAGCUGUAGAACUUUUUUUUUUCCUGAAACUCAGAUUGCUCCCAAAGAUAAAACUGGCAUGAUGGAGGUCAACCUGUAAGAAUAAACUUACUCGAGGUAAGGCCAGUCCCCAUUGACUUCUGUGCUUACAGGAGACAUCACCAGCUCCUCUUUUUCCCCUUCUCCAUUAUACUCAUUCUCUUGAGCUUGCUCUGCUCUGGAAUCAGUGGAUGAAAUGAAUCCAGUGGGUGAAGCUGGGAGGAGGUCAUUUGCCUCCCAUUUUGGUACUCUCUUUCCCAGCAGUGGGACCACUCAAAGCUCAUUUCAUCUGCUUUGCUGGAGCUGCCUAGAGUGGGAAGCAAAAUGGAUUUCAGCCUUGCAUCAGACUACGUUUAAGCCUAGCCCAAAUCCUGGACUGUCCGAACUUGAAAUUUCCAAAGAGCAGAUCAGGAUAAAGAAUGUGAAUUGCACUUCAACUCUUGGUGUUUAGGGGUGCUCCAGCCCUGAAGGUGUCAAGGCCAGGCUGGAUGGCGCCCUGGGCAGCCUGAUCUGAGGGGGGGCUUUAAGACCCCUUCUGACCUAAGCCAUUCUAUGAUUCUCUGAUUCUAUUCCAGCUUCCUGUGAGCCAGAAGCAGGAUAAAUGAUAGUCUCUGUCUUCAGUUAUUAGGGUUUCAAGGGAAGAAGUCUCUUUGGACCUUCAGCGUCUCUGAGUGUGACACAGUUAACAAGUAUUCCUAAAAGCUCUGAAUCACAGACAGAUGUCUGGACCUGUGCUGGCUAGAGGCUAAUCACUUUCUGAACUGGAAUAAACCCUAAACUAGCAAACACAAGUCCUGGUGAAACAGCAGGGCUGCAGCAUCAUCCCCCUUCAUUUCCCUUUUUCCCUUGGCUGCAGAGCUCUCAUUGCAGCAGCCUGACUUCAAACACUGACAAAUGUCACUGCUGACACUGCUAUGGAGGGUGCACACCAUCAUUAUAAUCUGUAUGCAUUUAGCCAUCCCAGCAUGAUAAGAGAAUGAUUAGGAGAAUAGUUAGAGAGUAAAUUAAAAACUCCCAGCAGUUUUCUGUGUGAACCUACUAACUUACAGGCAUAUUUUUUUCACAGCAUUACUGAAAAAUGCCAUUAGUUAUACCUGUGACUACAUGUUAGAUUUAAACCCCUGGUGAGAAUUUUUAUUAAUAUACAAAUAUGUUAGGGCUCUUAUGCUGCUUAAAAUGUAAUUAACCAUCUUCUGAAGAUUAAGAGUACAUAAUCAUAAAAGAACUGCACUCUUGUGCAUUUAAUUCUUCUAAUCUGCUUUAUGUUGAUGUUAGUGUGGAAGAAUAAUUGCUAGUUUGCCUUAAUAGUUUGGGUUUCUGCUAUAGGAAGAAAUUGUUAGUGAAUGUAUUUCUAAACUUCAGAUUUGGUGUGCUUGCACCGAUGAAAGACGAUAAAGUGCAAACUGAGAAUAGGAAAACUUGCUGCUUUUAUCCUGCUGCUGCAAAUGCCCAGCAGUGGCAAAGCUGUAUUUCAGCUUCGAAAAAGAGAACAGGAUGAGCAUAUCCAGUGAAUGACAAAGGUAUGAGCAAUAAACUCCAAGUAAUCUCUUUAAGCACUAAUUUAAACACAUAAGGUGUCAACCAAGCCAUGGGGGGAUCCAACAAGGCUUUUCAAGAAGGCUGUGGGAGCUGAGCUCAUCACUCAUUACAGGUGAGAGAGGAAGACUUUUGAUUUGCUGGGUCGUAGGGUGGGAAAUGAGCUUGUGAAAUGCACUUAAAAAAAAAUCAAUGCUUUUAUGUUUUCUUUAGAACAUAGUAUUGGAAUUGUCCAUCCUUCCAGGACUGCCACAAUCUUCAUACAAUGGCCAUCACGUUUAACUGAAAAGAGGUUAAAACCCUCAGAGAUGCAGACUGCCGCUCUUUAGGGGUAUUUCCUUCCUGGCAACAUGAUCGAUAAACCAUUAGGUAACUCUGAUGACUGUGCAAAAAUCAGCCUUUUUCCUCCUCCUCUCUCCCAGCGUUGCUUCCUGAAUGCUAAGAAGAGGUUAAGGAAGAGCACUGAAUGCUGCGGGUUGCCACCACUGUGCAGUGUGGGCAGUCAGUUCACAGGGGAGCCUAUGGGGCAGGAACACCCAUGGAAAACGUGGACAAAAAAAGCCCACAGUGCUCCUGCUGUGAUGAAGGGGAUGGAGACUGGCUGUUGCUCCUUGAAGACCACCAGAGCAGGGAGCUUCCUCCUCGCUUGAAGCGUCUAAGAGCUCUGCAAGGCGCUGGGAGAAAACCAGCCUCCAUCACCAACUUCAGGGGUUGGAAAAUAAUUGGAAAAGAAUCCCCCAUGUAUUUUUUCUUCUAUGACUCAUGAAUUUCAGUGGGGUCCCUCAGCGCACAUCUCUCCAUGGGGUCACAGUGCCUUGUGGCAGGCAGCUGUGUCCAGUCGGGACCCAGUUCUAGGGGAGAGCGGUGACAGUGUGACCGCAGGGAGCAGCGGUAUGCAGCCCGAGAAGGGCUCCUCGGCUGCUUUCUGCUUGUUUUCAUUACUUCCAAAUGAAUGCACAGCCUUUAUUGAAAGUCGCUUGUUUUCAGUGCAGCUUCCUUUUGAGGCAGGUGUGACAGUCAGCAUUGCUCUGGGCCUUACACCAUGCUCAGUUCUCCAGGCUUCCGGCUGCAGCUCCUCAAGUCAAAACCCACACAGACAACAUAGAUGUUCCUGUGGGCUUUCUAUGUCCGGCGAGGGUCAGCUGUGGGUUAGGGAAAGGCUGUGCCCCAGAGGGCAGUGGGCAUGGAACAGCCUGCCCAGGGCAGUGGGCAUGGCCCCAGUGCUGAGGCUCAGGGAGUGCUGGGAUGCCGCUCUCAGACAUAGGGUACGUGGGGCUGAAGGGCCCUGCCAGCCCACAGCAGGCCACGGCCCUGUGCCCGCUGUGGCUUGACUCAAAGCAUUCCAGAGAGGAAUAAAUACAGGUUAAGUACUAAAAUCCUACUGAAACCGUGCAGGAGCUGAGUGCUCAGUUCCCUCAAGAUUUUUUAGGCAGGUGGAAUAUAUCUAUCUAAGCCAAGGAAAAGGACACCAGGCUUCCAACCCUAGCUCUGCUUAAGGUCUGUUACUGCAAAUAACCUUGUACAAAGUGGAGUAGAUAACCUGAUUAAUUCUGCUUGCCAUUCAAGCUUGCAUUAAAUAAGACGUGUAACUUCAGACAGAAAGCCAGCCAUUCUUCUGUUCUAACAGUCUGCUGUCAACGCAGGACAAUAAAAUAUGAAUAUUUUAGAUUCAUAGUGCAGACAAAUAGGAAAUAGGAGCUGUAUUGUGCUUCACAUGCACGGCUAGCUCAGUAAUGCUAACGUGAUUAUCUCAUUGAACUUUUGUGCCAUCGCUUAAGGGCAGCUUUGUCUUGCUUAGCUGGGAUGUACAUAUUUGUUUCUUCCAUGCAUAGCUCCAUAGUCUUUUUUAAGCUUGUGGAAAUGGGAAAAUCUGAUUUUCCUCCUCAGCCACAAGGUAGCAUCAUUCCUUGGCAUUGCUUGGACCAGUACGUCUUAAGUGCAAUUUUUACAGGUUCCUACCAAAAUAUUUUAAUGUCUGCAGCUAGAUUUCCAGACAGAAACAUGGGAAAAUCACACCAGAAUUUAAAAUAUGAAUUAUAGCGUGGUUCACUCUCUGUAACAGAGAGACAAGGAGGGUAAUCAAAACAUGAAAUAUUCUGAUUCAUUCCUCUCCCUAAGCAGAAAAAAAAUGUUUUCAGGAUUAGUGGGGGUUUGGUCUAGAUGGGCUGCCAUUUGGUUAUUCAGCUGUGAGAUUCAUUACCUGGGCAGGCUGGCUUUGCCAGCCCUGAGAUCACAGCAAUAGCAUGCACCUGACGUGGGGUGGCAAAAAAAGCUGGGUGAAUUCAACUCUAAUGAAAACAUCUUGCCACACUGACCCAAAAAACCAUCAAUCUGAGUACUCAGUUCCCUUUUUAAUAUCUAAAUCCUUUUAUUUUCUCUGUGCUGGAUUUGUUUUAUAUUUCCCUUUUAAGUUAGCACUUUGUGUGGGGGUGGAUGUUACGAAGACCAGUUUUGAUGGAAAGUAGAUUGAGCCUUGAAGACUUUCAUCACUGCAUUAUAGCUCUGCUCCCUCCACCCCUCACUGAUAUCCCUCCAUUUACAUGAGUAUUGGACAGGACUUAGGAAUCAGCCCUGACUUGGCCAGUUUUAUUGGGUUUAUGUGGCAAUGUUUUGGUAGCAGGAGGCUGCAGGUGUGGCUUGUGUGAAUAGGCCAAGACCUGCCCCAUCUUAAAUCAAAGCCAGUUCCAACCAGCUCUAAAGGUGACCGACUGCUGCCCACAGCUGAGCCAAUCGGUGAUGCUGGUGGCACCUCAGCGAUAACACACUUAAGAAAGGGUAAAAUACAUUCUGCAGCAGUUGUGAGAGAGAGGAAUGAGAAAAUGUGAGAGAAAACUCUGCAGACACCAAGGUUAGGGAAGAAGGAGGGGGAAGAGGUUCUCUAGGCACCGGAGCACGCAUUUCUUGACAGCCCAUGAAGAGGACCAUGGUGAUGGAAGCAGACCAUGGAGGAACCCAUGCCACAGCAGGUGGAUAUCCUGAAGGAAGCUGAAGCCAGCCAACACAGGAGCAGGCUGGAGCUGUAUCCAUGCAGAAGGGACCAUGCUGGAGCAGUCUCCUGUUUAUGGAUGGUACCUUGCACAGAGGACCCGUGCUGUAGCAGUUCUUGAAGGAUUGCUUCCCAUGGGAAGGACCCCAUUCUGGAGCAGGGGAAGAGUGUGAGGAGGAAGGAGUGACAGAUGUGGACUGCUGGAACUGACAGCAAUGCCCAUUCUCCAUCCUCUGUGCUGCUCCUUCACCCUGCUAUGGUCAUGUCCCAGGGCAAAUAAUGGCUGUGCAUCCAGCCUCUGUCCUUUCUUCCCUUAGAGUAUUUACAGGCAGAUUUAACAGUUCCUCAUUGACUGAAAGGGUUCAAUAUGCUAGCGAAACUUAAAAAUUCAAAUGAUUAUUAACAAUUUUAAUGAACUUUGUCAUAAAAUGUAACUAUAAAGAAUGCCCCAUAAAAAAAAAAAAAAAGACCUUUCACAACCAGAAGUAAAAAAUAACCUUUAAAAAUUCUUAUGAAAUGUAUGAUGAAACUUAGAGUUGUAGAAUCAUAGAAUGGCCUGGGUUGAAAAGGGCCAUAAUGAUCAUCGAGUUUCAACCCCCCUGCUAUGUGCAGUGUCACCAACCACCAGACCAGGCUGCCCAGAGCCAAAGUUGGUCCCUCAGUGUGCAUUAGCAUUGAUGUAGAGAUGUAGAAGUUAUAAAGGCCACUGUAGCUCAGGGAUUUAGUGCAGGUAAUAAGAUGAAAAGAAUGGGCACAGUCUCCUUUUGGUAGAAUUGGUAUGACAACAUCUCAAGUCCCAGCUGAGCAGGGAUCAAAUCAAGAUGUACAGUUCUGUAUAAAAGUGAACGCAAAGCUAUGUUGGAUGCUCAGCAUGCAAAGGAAGGUUCAGGCUAUGUUAGAGAGUCUUAAGAAGAAUUUGGCAGCUUGCUGGGGAGGAGGGAAGGGAUGCAGAACAGAUGUUCUGAAGAUCCCUCUGGUUUUAACAUCUGCUCCAUAGUUCUUGCAACUGGGAGGGUCUGGAUUUGAUGACCAGUUUCACAUUCCUGAAAUGGCCAUAAUCUCUGCCCUGAAGCCCUCUGAGCCAAAGCAAGGGGUGAGUAAAUAUAUACUUACAUUAACUUCUGGACAAUGAUUUCAACUUGCUGAAGUCAAUGGGACUUUGACGCAUGAUGGAAGCUAAUCAGGUACUUACCUAGUUUCCUCAUUAGUGAUGAAUUGGUCGUUUACUUUAGAGGACAUAACAUAACCACUGAAAGCAUAGCAAAUUCUUCAUGUUAAAUUGGCCUCUAUGGAGCUCUAUGAGUGAGUGAGCGUGUAUAUAUGUGUUCAGAGGGCAGAAGGUUGUUCUUUUCCUCUCUGGUUUUAUUCUCUUCCUCUCCACUUUCUAUAGUAUCCUCUUCCUAUUUUAUUUGUUGUUCUCUCCCCUCUUCCUCACAGUUUUUGUUUCAUGUUCUUUUUCACAGCAUUUUAGCCAUAGUAUCUUUAAGAUCUUUACAGUCUCUAUGUUUAAAGACUGACCCCGCCUCAAGGAACCCUAAAAUGCCGUGUCUCAGAUUCCUUAUAAAUGUGGAGAGGGGCAAAAUGCAGCUUUCCCAUUUCCCCAGCACUUUUUGGUUCUCUCAGCUAAUCUACACUAAUGUUUUUUGAUUUUAAUAUUACUACAAUUUUGGAGAUAUCAGUUACUUCCACUUUAUAUAUCAGAAUCUCUGCACUAUGAAACCAAAAUGCAUAGCCGUGCUUUUCCUGAAGAGGCCAUUGUCAAGGAUUUCCCAAGCCCAAAUAUGAUAUAACUCUGAGUCUAAAACUUCUGGGAUGCAUCAGACAUCCUCUCCAUACACAGAUCAACUACACAUAAGAUGAACAGUAGGUCAAAAUUUUCUCUGAGAGUGUAUGGUAAUUGCUUAUGCAAUGAAACAGACGGUGAAAUGUUUGGAAGCCAUCACUCCUCUCAUCCAUGAGAAGCCUGGAGACCUUAGUCUAAUGUGUAAUAACCAAGAACUCUUCCUGGAUGGAAGAGAGGACACUUCCAGCAAAACCUACUUAGCCCAAGUGAGAGCACAACAUUUCCAGAUAUGGCUGUGUGAUAGUUUGAUGUACAUGAGGCAAGAAAGGGCUUAGAGCAGAGAAGAUAUUCUCAAGGUAUAUUGUGCACCGAGAAUAAACAACCAUAUGGAGGAAAGCCCCGAGGGAUUUCUCUCUUCUUUCCCCUGAAGCUCAAAUACUGCCAGAGGAAACCCAACAGAUUUGGGUUUCUUGGUGGAAGUGGCACACUUUUGAUGUUCCAAAAUAAUGCAUAUAUCUCUCUGCUUCUAUUUUCUGAAUCCUUGACAUCAAGCAAGGCAUUAAAAUGUACACUGGCAAGGAUACAGGCAAGGAUAUAGGCAUCUCAGAAUUCUCUCUGUCACAGAAUCACAGAAUUCUAGAGUGGUUUGGGUUGGAAGGGACCUUUAAGAUCAUCUAGAUCCAACUUCCCUGCUAGAGCCAGGGACCCCUCCCUCUAGAGUUAGAGAGGUUUCUCCCAGCCCCAUCCAGCCUGGCCAAGGAUUGGACAGCCACAACAUCUCUGAUCGUAUAUGGCUCUUGUCAAAUGCUUGAUACUGUAGGCAGCAAGAUCCUGCAUGGGAAGGUGGGCCGUCAUCUUAUUUUCCAUUGGAAAGUUAUGUUUUUUUGGAUGAUUUAUGCCUGAAACAAUGCUAAUCUAUGUUAAUGUGUAACUUAGCUUGGAUGUCAGAGCAUGUGGGUGGUUAUUGACAGUGCAGGUUCACAAAGAAUCCCAGUAUAGCUGUACAUCAGCGGACUAUUGCCUUUAUCUGGCAGCCCAAGGAAAUAGCAAUUAGGAUCAGAUGGGGCCAACCAAUGACUUGUCAUAGUCCAGCUAUAUGGUUAUGUUGGUUAUGCUGUCUUUUUCUUUGCAAACCACAUGUUAAAAUCACCUUUAGGCUAGCUCCUAUGCUACUGUAAUUCAUGAAAUAAUUAGCAGCAAGAAAUGAAAGCAAAUACAUCUAAUGAAACAACAGCUGGAUUAAUAGAUCCCUGUAUUUGGAGCUUUUCUGAGCAGCCAGGAAUUACCUGCUAGGGACAUGUUCCCAUUCAUUGCAACACACAGCUGGCAGUUCAUGGCACGCAGUGUGCUACAUUCCUAAGACUCAAUUUCUUCUUUGCUUUCUAACUGGAAAAUCAAAUCCUGCCCUGGACUCUGACUGCAGCCACUGCAAAGGGUAAACAUACCACCGCCUUUCCAGCAGCGUCCCUUUCUAAUGAGAUCCAGCCCAAACUAUUACACUAAGGCUCAGUGAUGACAGCGACCUUUAUGGCUUUGGCAGGACCACUAGCACUCAAGGUAUUUUCUCCUGCAAUACCCCUCUUGUAGCAAGAAAUAAGAAAGUACAGGAGUGGAGAAACCAGUCAUUUCUCAGUUUAAAUGCUGUAUUUUACAGCAGCCUAGAGGAAUGUUUUGAUCCUGACGCAACACUUAACUGACCUGAAACAGAAGCAGCUGUUUCUCUACUGUCUGAGUGCCUCAGCCUAGCAAAAUGCAGAAGUGUGAAGUGAAGGUCUCUGCUGAGAUAUGUAUAAUUACAGAUUUUGUGCAUGUUAGGCACUCUCUAUUUUACACUGUUCAAUAGGCCUUGUCUGCAGCAUAAAGUGGUAUGGAAAAUUACUGGCUUAAAAAUGCAUCUGCUAAGGCAGAGCUUGAGGUCUGCAUCACAGGCAUGCGUGGUCCCACUCUGCUUCUGAAAGUAAGAUCAGAGGUAAUUCUCCUCUCCAGAAGAGGGACCACAGAGCUCUGUGAUGGGGGAGGCAGAGUCAGGACAGGAUCCAGAUGUGCUGCAGAGGGGAACUGCUGCAGUGUGGUCUGAUGGGCUGUGCACGCUGCUCUGGGUAUCGGCCAGGGAGCAAGGGGAGCUGCUUUACUCUCAUCUCUUCCUCCCCUUUAUAGAAGGUGAGCAGCACCUACAAAGCAGCAUCUGGGUGCUCCCCAGGCUGACAGAUGCUUGCAGCCAGGCUGUAAAUGGAAAAUGGGAUGGGUAUUUGAGGUCUGCUUCACAGUGUCACAGCUUUCUCAUUGAGCUGAACCAAAGAAAUCAACAACAAAAACAGACCCAGUGGACUGCAGGAUUUGUAUUGCACUGCUCACCAAUCAGAACUGAUGACAGGUGAAAACAGAUAAUAAAUCCAAUUGGCAAAGCUUGAGGCUGUUAACGCUGGCCCAAACCAUUUGAGAUUGGCAUCCUAAAAGCUUUUCUUCGUACUGAUUCCUAAUGGCUAAUGUACCAGAGGCUCUCCCUCUCCAAUCACCUUGGUGUGCAUCAGGCUGGCUUUCAAUUUCCCUGUGUCCUCUGCACAGGAAAGAGAAAAGAAAUCAAACAAGGGCAUACGGUCCACUCAGCAGAAUAUGCAAACAGGGGAGCUUGGAGACGAGUCAGCUGGAGACUGGGCUGCCUCCUGGAACUGGGGUGGAACAGCAAGGAAGAGAGUAGUGAGACGCUGUGAUUUAUAUCAUGUAUUUGUCACACGGCACUAUAUGUUAGCAUACAUACACACACAUCCACAGCAUAUGUGUUGACUCAUGGAUUCUCUGGCUGCUCAGCAAGCUUCCAGCCAUCGCUCUUGGUUGAGACAUGGCAGGUUAGUUACUUUUGCCCUUCACGUGAUCCUGCAUCAAGGAGAAACUAAAGCAAUCUUGACUUUUUGCUACUAAAUCUCCACGUUCCAUUUCCAGGACCCUCUGCUCACAGCUGUUAGAACACUUAUGCAGACAUUCUUUUUUCUUUUUUCUCCUACUGAUGAACUGAGCUCUCAAACUAUAUUCCAGCUGGGAACGUACAAUUAAUUGUCACAUGAAACUAAAGACUGCUUCCAUAUGUCUUCUGAUGCACGCCAUACAUACAGGUGUCUUUGCCUCGGAUGCACAUACCUUCUGUCUGGUGCUAAGAGGGAGAGAAAGCUCAGCCUGACGUCCAUCCUGCAAACUCGUGAACACGGUCUUAUUCUGCCUGGAGAAGAGAAGGCUCUGGAGAGACCUCAUUGUGGCCUUUCAGUACUUGAAGGGAAUUAUAAGCAGAAGGGGGACCUGUUCCAGUGCCUCAUCACCCUACACCAGAUUUGGUGUACACAAGUCUGAUUGCCCAGAGAGCUGCGGGUGCCCCAUCCCUGGAGGUGCCCAAGGCCAGUCUGCAUGGGGCCCUGGGCAGCCUGAGCUGCUGGGGGGCAACCAGCCCAGAGCAGGGGUUGGGGCUGGAUGGGCUUUAAGGUCCCUUCCAAUCCAAGUCAUUCUGUGAUUCUACGAUUCUAUGCAUAGAGUAACUAAUGGUUUCUAGACAUCUGCAAAGGUAUUUUGGAUCCCAGAAGUUUUCUGAGAUAACGUUGCUAGGAAUAUUUCAUGCCUCUUCCUUAGAGCUGUUCUUUGCUCCUCCUACAGUGUCAGUCAAAAAAGUACAUCUUGCUAGAUGACUCAAAGUCCUGAGCCCCCAACACGUUCACUAGUGCUCAUUAACAUGCCCCUGAAAAUGGGAAAAAUUAAGCAGCAAAAGACCUUUGUAGGUGUUGUCCUCAGGACUGCCCACUUUCAUUCUCUUCUGAAGGUUUCCCAGCACUGUGCUCAGCUCAUUAAGUAGAGAGCUUGAGAUCUAUCUAUCUUUCCCCUUGUGAGACUGAGUGCUCAGACACAAACAAGGUCUUUUUGUACUGAAUCAAUAAAUCAGCAUCUUAAAUCGUGAACCAAUAAAUCAGUAUCCUAAAGGAUUUCUGAGCUGACUAUCUGUCUGUAAUAUUUACCUGAGGGCCUGAUGUAGACUUUGUCCAUGCUGGUGCAAGGCCCAUGAAGCCUGGCCAGGGAACCAGCUCCAUCACAUCAGCAACAUUUGCUCUCCCUAAGAGAUGCUCAGAUAAAUCAUAGAACCAUAGAAUGUCUUGAGGUGAAAGGGACCCUUAAAGGUCAUCUAGUCCAGCUCCUCUGCAAUGAACAGGGAUACCUAUAGGUUGAUCAGAUACUCAGAGCCCCGUCCAGCCUGACCUUGAGUGUCUCCAGGGAUGGGGCAUCCACCACCUCUCUGGGCAAUCUGUGCCAAUGCCUCACCAUCCCUAUUUAGACAACUUCUUCCUUAUAUCCAAUCUAAAUCUUUUCUCUUUUUAGAUUGAAACUAUUUCCCCUUUUUUUUUCCUAUGACAACAGAUUCUGCUAAAGCAUCUGUUCCCCUUGGGCA